GAUGAAGAACGUAGCGAAAUGCGAUAAGUAGUGUGAAUUGCAGAAUUCAGUGAAUCAUCGAAUCUUUGAACGCACAUUGCGCCCCUUGGUAUUCCAUGGGGCAUGCCUGUUCGAGCGUCAUUUGUACCUUCAAGCUCUGCUUGGUGUUGGGCGUCUGUCCCCGCUUCCCGCGAGGACUCGCCCCAAAUCCAUUGGCAGCGGCAUCGCCGGCUUCUCGCGCAGCACAUUGCGCUUCGGAAGGCUCCCGGCGGGCUCGCGUCCAGCAAGAACCCCCCCAGUUUGACCUCGAAUCAGGUAGGGAUACCCGCUGAACUUAAGCAUAUCAAUAAGCGGAGGA
RNAcentral lists this unclassified non-coding RNA (337 nucleotides) under soil metagenome. RNAcentral describes it as "partial contains 5.8S ribosomal RNA, internal transcribed spacer 2, and large subunit ribosomal RNA". The stretch from base 1 to 120 matches the Rfam family "5.8S ribosomal RNA", at positions 35 to 154 of the family's 154-position model. The record is from RNAcentral.